AGAGUUUGAUCCUGGCUCAGGAUGAACACUAGCUACAGGCUUAACACAUGCAAGUCGAGGGGCAGCAUGGUCUUAGCUUGCUAAGGCCGAUGGCGACCGGCGCACGGGUGAGUAACACGUAUCCAACCUGCCGUCUACUCUUGGACAGCCUUCUGAAAGGAAGAUUAAUACAAGAUGGCAUCAUGAGUCCGCAUGUUCACAUGAUUAAAGGUAUUCCGGUAGACGAUGGGGAUGCGUUCCAUUAGAUAGUAGGCGGGGUAACGGCCCACCUAGUCUUCGAUGGAUAGGGGUUCUGAGAGGAAGGUCCCCCACAUUGGUACUGAGACACGGACCAAACUCCUACGGGAGGCAGCAGUGAGGAAUAUUGGUCAAUGGCCGAGAGGCUGAACCAGCCAAGUCGCGUGAGGGAUGAAGGUUCUAUGGAUCGUAAACCUCUUUUAUAAGGGAAUAAAGUGCGGGACGUGUCCCGUUUUGUAUGUACCUUAUGAAUAAGGAUCGGCUAACUCCGUGCCAGCAGCCGCGGUAAUACGGAGGAUCCGAGCGUUAUCCGGAUUUAUUGGGUUUAAAGGGUGCGUAGGCGGACUGUCAAGUCAGCGGUAAAAUACGGGGGCUCAACCUCCGCCCGCCGUUGAAACUGACGGUCUUGAGUGGGCGAGAAGUAUGCGGAAUGCGUGGUGUAGCGGUGAAAUGCAUAGAUAUCACGCAGAACUCCGAUUGCGAAGGCAGCAUACCGGCGCCCAACUGACGCUGAAGCACGAAAGCGUGGGUAUCGAACAGGAUUAGAUACCCUGGUAGUCCACGCAGUAAACGAUGAAUACUAGCUGUCCGGGGCGAAUGAGCCCUGGGUGGCACAGCGAAAGCGUUAAGUAUUCCACCUGGGGAGUACGCCGGCAACGGUGAAACUCAAAGGAAUUGACGGGGGCCCGCACAAGCGGAGGAACAUGUGGUUUAAUUCGAUGAUACGCGAGGAACCUUACCCGGGCUCAAACGACACAGGAACGUACCUGAAAGGGUUCGGCUCUACGGAGCCUGUGUCGAGGUGCUGCAUGGUUGUCGUCAGCUCGUGCCGUGAGGUGUCGGCUUAAGUGCCAUAACGAGCGCAACCCCCAUCGACAGUUGCUAACAGGUCAGGCUGAGGACUCUGUCGAGACUGCCGGCGCAAGCUGCGAGGAAGGCGGGGAUGACGUCAAAUCAGCACGGCCCUUACGUCCGGGGCGACACACGUGUUACAAUGGCAGGUACAGCGGGAAGCCACCUGGCGACAGGGAGCGGAACCCGAAAGCCUGUCUCAGUUCGGAUUGGAGUCUGCAACCCGACUCCAUGAAGCUGGAUUCGCUAGUAAUCGCGCAUCAGCCACGGCGCGGUGAAUACGUUCCCGGGCCUUGCACACACCGCCCGUCA
This 1401-nucleotide ribosomal RNA is filed under the name synthetic construct. Its description in RNAcentral is "bacterial SSU rRNA". It matches the Rfam family "Bacterial small subunit ribosomal RNA". The record is from RNAcentral. RNAcentral also lists the same sequence under 2 other names.